Molecule: long non-coding RNA, 1105 nt
Organism: Herpailurus yagouaroundi (jaguarundi)
Lineage: Eukaryota; Metazoa; Chordata; Mammalia; Carnivora; Felidae
Exons: 8
Source: RefSeq, a predicted model, not a curated record
AUGUUUUAGGUAGGCGAUGGGCCACCAGAACCAGCAGCCCCCCCUUACUUCUUUCAAACACACAGCGCGGCUCUGUAUUUUCCUCCGGGGCUCCCCGCGCCAGGUGAAUUUCUCCAUAGCGGCACCAGAGGGCGCCCGAACUGAGGGAAAGGCCUCGGGACGCCAAGAGGACCCAAGCAGGUGCUACCACGCCGGCGACCCAGACCUCCCUGGCUCCGCGAUUAUCCGAUUCAAGAAGGGCUGUGUUUCUCUCCAAUUGUAUGCUUAAAUCUGGAAUCAAGAUGGGAGCACAUUGUCCCACCGGCUGUUUCCUAAGUAACAAGUCAGUGUUCUGUGUUUCAUAGACGGCAGACCUCUGAUUUCACACACUGAAGCGUGGAAAAGCCCCAUGUACUGGAGCCAGAGAACCUUGAAGGAAAAACAGAACUGCGUUCCUCAGCUCUAUCCUUUCUGCUCAUUUCCUGUCACCCAAGAUGUGAUUUUUCAGUGGUGGUCUCCAUUUUAAUUCACAUAUGGCUGCUAGAUCAAGGGACUGACAUUAUCUAGAAAUCUGUGAAGUAAAAAACAUCCAAGACCCAUUCCCUGGGGGCAGAAAAAGGAGGGUAGAAAAAAAGGGAGAAGAUCAGUCCCAGCCCAGCAAUAGAAGUACGCACAAAACAGAAGAGAACACGAAGGGACUUCGGUUUCCUUUUUAUCUCAAUACACACGGGCUAGUGAAAUGACAUCUACCUGGAGGGAGCUUUAAGACAAGAAUGUUUCUUAACCUCACCCUGGAGACAUUACACUGACCUCCUUACAAACAGAAACACACUGGAAUCAGGUCUACUAUCUAGAAGACUAUUUUUCAGAUGCAAUAAUUUAUCCAUCCUUUCAGCCAUUUUGAAAAGCCAUCUCUCGUUGCCAAACGAAGUGCUUCUAAAGUGUGCCUUUUCAGAAGAUCCCAAACCCUAUGUCCUCUCCAGGGAGAACAUUUCAAGCUUAUCAUUUCUCCAAGACAAACCUCAAAGGCAGAACUCCUCUCUCCAUGAGGCAGGUGUGAUUUAGCAGAACGUAGAAGAAAAGAGGGCAUUGUUUUCUUCUUUACCUGCAAUGCUAAAGGUGGAAA